AGAGUUUGAUCAUGGCUCAGGAUGAACGCUAGCGGCAGGCCUAAUACAUGCAAGUCGAACGAUACCAGGGAGCUUGCUCUCUGGGAAAGUGGCGCACGGGUGCGUAACGCGUAUGCAACCUACCUUAAUCAGGGGGAUAGCCUCUCGAAAGAGAGAUUAACACCGCAUAAAAUCAAAGAAUGGCAUCAUUCAAUGAUCAAAUAUUUAUAGGAUUAAGAUGGGCAUGCGUGACAUUAGCUAGUUGGUGAGGUAACGGCUCACCAAGGCGACGAUGUCUAGGGGAUCUGAGAGGAUGACCCCCCACACUGGUACUGAGACACGGACCAGACUCCUACGGGAGGCAGCGGUAAGGAAUAUUGGUCAAUGGAGGCAACUCUGAACCAGCCAUGGCCGCGUGCAGGAAGACGGCCCUAUGGGUUGUAAACUGCUUUUAUACCGGAGUAAACCUCGUUUCGUGAAACGAGUUGAAUGUACGGUAAGAAUAAGGAUCGGCUAACUCCGUGCCAGCAGCCGCGGUAAUACGGAGGAUCCAAGCGUUAUCCGGAUUUAUUGGGUUUAAAGGGUGCGUAGGCGGCCUAUUAAGUCAGGGGUGAAAGACGGUGGCUCAACCAUCGCAGUGCCCUUGAUACUGAUGGGCUUGAAUACACUUGAGGUAGGCGGAAUGUGACAAGUAGCGGUGAAAUGCAUAGAUAUGUCACAGAACACCAAUUGCGAAGGCAGCUUACUAAGGUGCAAUUGACGCUG
Molecule: ribosomal RNA, 744 nt
Filed under: uncultured bacterium
Lineage: Bacteria
Description: bacterial SSU rRNA
Rfam family: Bacterial small subunit ribosomal RNA
Source: RNAcentral